GUCCACACCGUAAACGUUGGGCGCUAGGUGUGGGGUCCAUUCCACGGAUUCCGUGCCGCAGCUAACGCAUUAAGCGCCCCGCCUGGGGGAGUACGGCCGCAAGGCUAAAAACUCAAAGGAAUUGACGGGGGCCCGCACAAGCGGCGGAGCAUGCGGAUUAAUUCGAUGCAACGCGAAGAACCUUACCUGGGUUUGACAUACACCGGAAAGCCUCAGAGAUGAGGCCCCUUUUGUAGGUGUACAGGUGGUGCAUGGCUGUCGU
Molecule: ribosomal RNA, 262 nt
Filed under: uncultured bacterium
Lineage: Bacteria
Description: partial 16S ribosomal RNA
Rfam family: Bacterial small subunit ribosomal RNA
Source: RNAcentral